GCCAGAAAUGGAGUUAACCAUUUAUUUCUCUGUGACAGUACAGAUUACAAAGAAACAGUGUGGUAGAUCUUCAACCUGGUCGGAGAUGCAUGGGGCUGAUUCCUGGUCUCAUGACUACCCUGGAAGGAGCAAGAUGAAGAAAACAAAACAAAAAGAAACUGUGCAGAACAAUAUAAGAAUUGCAUCAGCGUGAAGAUCAAACACCCAAAGAGAACACACAACACUUCAGUGUCGUGAAUCACUGCAAAAAAUCCAAACCCUCCUGACCCAGUUUUCUACAAGGAAAGAUAAUGUGUCCUUUUAUAAGCUCUUUCUAUCUAGCUAUGGAGUCUUUGCUUGCUGAGAAUUGAACGCUUGUGAAGCUUCCUCAUGGGGGGAGGGUAUUUAUUUUUGGAGCAGCCAGUCAUAAAUAAUAAAGGUGAAUAAUUAUUU
Molecule: long non-coding RNA, 432 nt
Organism: Gavialis gangeticus (Gharial)
Lineage: Eukaryota; Metazoa; Chordata; Crocodylia; Gavialidae
Exons: 2
Source: RefSeq, a predicted model, not a curated record